GGCACACACACUUCCCUCUCACUAUGUGAUGUCCUCUGUCAUGUUAUGACAUAGUGAGAAGGGCCUCACCAGCAGCAGCCUCUCAACCUUGGACCCCCUGAAGAAAUGUAAGAAAUAAAUUUCUUUUCUUUAUAAAUUAUCUAAUUUUUGAUGUUCUGUUAUAGCAAAGAAAAUGGACUAAGAUAGUGGGUCUGGAGGACUUGGUUCUCUGUUAGGAGGAAAUGCUGCCACCAGAGAGCACACUAAAGGUUACCCUGAAUCUAAAGGUAUGAUUACCCUCUGAUUAUUUUGGAAUCCUCAUGCUAGUAGAACAGCAGACAAUGGACGGGAGAUAUAAUUGCCUCUGAUCACCAUAAAGAAGUUGGAUACCUGAUACUAAAUGGCGACACAGAGGAAUAUAUCUGAAAUUCAAGGGAUCUGUUUGGGCAUCUGUUGGUGGUCCCAUGCCUCAUAUUAACCAUGAACAGACAAUUGCAGGGAUGGUGGCCUGACAAAGGGAAGCAGGGGCUCAGAUUCAUCCAGGUUAAAGAUCUGGUCACCUCCUAGGGUAAGUAAGCUUUGUUACAUUAAAUUUGAAGUGCUAAUCAGACUAUACAAGUGGAGAUGUAGAGUAAGCAAUUGGAUACACAAUUCUGGAGUUGGGAGAGGUCCAGGUUAGAAAUAUGUAUUUAGGAGUCAUCAUCAUAUGGAAUGGAUGAGUCUACCUAGUCGGUGAGUAUAAGUUACAAAAAGAAGAAUUGAGGUCUGGGUCACACCAAUGUUUAGAGGACAUGACCUUUCAGUAUUUGUUUGCAGAGGUGACAGGUGGGAGGAAAAUCAGGCAUUUGGCAUUCUCAAAGCCAAGUGAAGAUAGUUUCCAAGGAGGAGAGUUAUCAGCUGUGUCAGAUGCUGCUGGUAGUUGAAGUAAAAUGAGGAUCGAGUGUUGACUCUUGGUUUUUGUGGUGUAAAAUUUAUUGGUGAUCUUGACAAGAUAGGUUUCAGUGGAAUGGUAGGGGCACAAAACCUGAAUGAGCUUGAAAAUGGCGAGGAAACAAAUAAGAGACAGUAGAUGUAGAAAACCCUUUCAAAGAGUUGUGUUGUUUUGAAAAAUGUGGGAGUUGGGAGAGAAUAGGCCAGAGCUCCUAAAAUCUACCUAGAAUCAGUGGAGAGAAGAGAGAGUGAAUGGGAAGAGAUGUGUUUGGGUGGAGAGAUAUGUGGUGGGAGCUUGGAAAGUCUCUUCUAAUUGCUCAAUUUUCUUAGAGAAAUAGAAGGGGGGUCAUCAGCAGAGAGUGAGAAGCUAGAGGUUUGAGGAGACAUGGGAGGAUGCAUAUAGGCUAUAUGCAAAUAUCAUACCAUUCUAUACAGCAUCCAUGGAUGAAUCACACAGUUGUCAAGGGAGUGGGAGUAUGAAUGCAGGUAAAGUGUGAAGCUGGGCAGUAUCAAGGGGUCACCCAAAAUUAGGGGUCAGGGAGUUAGAUUAUGGAUUUCAUGAUGUGACUGGGUAAAAUGUACUUUCAUUAGCUUGCUGAUUGAUCUAUAUUGGCUCUGAAGAAGUCAGGUAAAUUUUUUGUUCUUGGCCUUUAUCCAACUUAUCUUGAAAACUUUGGCAGUGUCACUAAGCAGUUGAGCUUCUUCUGUCCAAAGGUGAUUAUUCCCCUGGCUAAUAACAUAACCUAUUGGUGAACGUUGAGAAGAGCUGAAAAUGAUUGCACACAUUUAAAUACCUGGAAAAGCCAGUUGCAGCACUAAAUGUUGUGUAUCCAUGCUAUCGUUGCUCAUUUCUUGUAGAACUUUCCUUAUCUGUGUUCUUUGAUAAGGGUUGAGGUGUGGAAAGGUGAGGUCCUUAAAGGAUAAUUGUCAACACAUCCACUGCCUCAUUCCACCAUAUAUUCAAAUUCAGAACAUCUCAACACAGAUUAAAACACUUAAUUUCCAGUACCAAGCUACACUCUUAACCAAAUUAAGUAUAAGAUAGGGAAGAUAAGAAGCCCUAAGGCGUUAAUCAUUAGAAGAGUCAUCCCAGUAACCAAUAUUUAUAAUGGUCUUUCUGUUGGCAACUUAGAGGUUUCUUCACUCGAAUUCACACACCAUAGUAAAAUAAGGAUAGGAGCAGAAUAAGACUCUCCUCCUUUUUGAGCUUGGCCAACUAAAAGGGGAGGUAGUAAAGCGAAUUUUACAUCGCCUUGAACGCAGGUGCUUUCUCAGGUGGAUCAUUUCUCAGGCAGGUCAUUAGGAAAGAACACACAUGGAGGCUGAAUAUCUGAAAACUGAUUUCUUGUUUUAAGAAACAACUUUGUUGAAGCAUAUCGUAAAAUUUAAGUCUACAAUUCAAUGAUUUUUGUAACUUUACCAAGUAGUGCAACCAUCACAUUUGGUGAGUUGUAGAGCAUCUUUAUUGCUCCAAUAAGACCCCUCAUGCCCUUUACAGUUGAUCCCUGUUCCAAGCCCCAGACCUAGGCAACCUUUAUCUAUUUUGUCUCUAUAAAUUUUAUAAAUUUGCUUUUCUGAAUCUUUCAUACUAAUGAAGAAAUUGAUUUUUAAAACAUAUAUAUGCCUACUAAUACCUCUUGGAAAGUCUUUGCAUAUAUACUGUUCUGUAGCAUUCUCUUGCCCAAGGGAUGGGACACCUGUCUCAGGCCUAUGGCAUUUUUGGAGGAAUAUCUAUUCAUAUCUCUGUAUCUCUAUGGAUCUAUUUAUAUAAAAUAUUCAACAUACAGUUUUCAUAUUACCUUGGUGGUGAGUCCCAGUUCCUUUGUCUAGGGCACAGAGGGAAUCCCAGCGACAGGAAUAGCUCAAGAUUGGGCAGGUCCUGGGUGUCUGGGCAGCUGCUGUUCUCUCUCCUCUCUAAGUCAGGCCAUCCUUUCCUUUCUUCUCCCACCAGGACACACCAGGAUGUCUCCCUGCCCUCUUUCCAGACUUCACUUUGUUAAGUCACCAAAGCCCCAAACCAGGAUGGAGACUCCUUCUGAAAGACACCAAAUCACAUUCUGUCCAUCAUGCAGGGCAUCUUUCACAGCUUUGCUUACCACCACAGGGCACAGGGACCUCUCUGAAUCUCUAUGGACUGUGCACAUGAGCUCUCAGGAAUUCUGGUCCUUUCCUUAUAUUUUCUAUGUUAACAUAUGGGCCCACUGUCCAUUCAGUUGUCUACGUCAGAAACUGCAGUCAGCCAAGAUCCUUCUCACUUCUUCCAUAUCCAAUUGUCACCAAGCCCUGCUAAUAUGAUAUCUGCUAUCUUUUAGUUGAUCUUCUCCUGAUUCCUCGGUCGCUGCGUUUUGUUGGAGUGGUCAUCUGUCUUGCCUGGAGUGUAGUUGUAGCUUCUGUUCUGCUCUUACUUCAAAACUAAGCUGGAGGAACCUUUCCAAGGUGAAAAGCUGAUCAAGUUCGUCUCAUUGUGGAGAUUCAACCAUGGCUCUCCCUUGGCUUUGAUGAUAAAAUGUACAUUUCUUGCCUUCCCAUACUGGGACUUUGUUGAUUUGUUCCUGACUCCUCUCCCUUUGCCUUCACAAGCUCCUUCUACUACAAACAUAACAAUGUUCUUGCAUUUCAUGCUUGCAUCUUCUCAUUCCCUGGAUUGUUCCUACUCUUCCCUCAGACUGAACAAAGCCAUCCCUUCUGCAGGGAAGCCUUAUAAAUACAUCUACUUGGUUUUACAUGGCUGUCUCUCCAACCCAACUUUCAGGGUUUCCCCUGCCCCUCCUCCCACUGCCAUCAGGCUGACAAUAUCUUAAGGGCACAAUUUAUAUUUUAUACUUCUCCAGAGUCAUUGAAUAUGAUAGAUAGCCAUUCAUUAUUUGGAGUUUCUUAGUCUCUUAAAAAAACACACCUCUUUUCGGAGAAAGGGAAACAUGUACACUGCUGCUUGGACUAUAAAUUAGUUCAGCCAAUGUGGAAAGUGGUUUGAUGAUUUCUGAAAGAACCUAAAAAACAGAAUCACCAUUCAACUCAGCAACCUUAUUACUAGGUAUAUACCCAAAGGAAUGUAAAUCAUUCUGCUAUAAAGACACAUGCACACCUAUGUUUAUCACAGGACUAUUUACGAUAGCAAGGACA
Molecule: long non-coding RNA, 4032 nt
Filed under: Macaca mulatta (Rhesus monkey)
Lineage: Eukaryota; Metazoa; Chordata; Mammalia; Primates; Cercopithecidae
Description: lncRNA (ENSMMUG00000064448.1)
Source: RNAcentral